RNAcentral lists this ribosomal RNA (330 nucleotides) under uncultured eukaryote. RNAcentral describes it as "partial 18S ribosomal RNA". It matches the Rfam family "Eukaryotic small subunit ribosomal RNA", at positions 1470 to 1796 of the family's 1831-position model. The record is from RNAcentral.
CCCUUAGAUGUUCUGGGCCGCACGCGCGCUACACUGAUGCGUUCAACGAGCCUAUCCUUGACCGACAGGUCCGGGUAAUCUUUGAAUCUGCAUCGUGACGGGGAUAGAUUAUUGCAAUUAUUAAUCUUCAACGAGGAAUGCCUAGUAGGCGCAAGUCAUCAGCUUGCGUCGAUUACGUCCCUGCCCUUUGUACACACCGCCCGUCGCUACUACCGAUUGAACGGUUUAGUGAGGGCCUCGGAUUGGUCUCGGCCCGCUCUUUACCGGGCGGCGCCGUUGGUCGAGAAGACGCUCGAACUUGAUCGUUUAGAGGAAGUAAAAGUCGUAACA